RNA transcript from Ostrea edulis (European flat oyster), 1882 nucleotides. RefSeq lists it as uncharacterized. The transcript has 2 exons. The record is from RefSeq and is a predicted model, not a curated record. Lineage: Eukaryota; Metazoa; Mollusca; Bivalvia; Ostreida; Ostreidae.
UCAAGUAAGAUUAAUUCCUCAACAAGAUGUUGUGUUUGGACGUGAAAAAUAGUAUGUAAUGUUAUAAAAGAUAUACAAGAUUUUUCGAUGCAGAAUAUCUUGAAACUACUAGUAUCAAUUAAAUAGUUGAUGACUUUACAAAAAUGAAGGAUUGAUUCAACUUCCUACAUAGAAUCAGACAUCGAUUAAGACUGUAUUUCCUAAGUCAUCUUAAGACACAGGUUUUCCGUGCAAAACUUCGUCACCACAUCGAGUGUUGUUAGCCUGUUUUGUACAUACUAAUUUGACUACAGAUUACUCCAUUUAUCUAACCAAGUCAUGGGACUCACUGAAGGUGUCACCAGUCGACAGGGGAUGUGUACUCCUCAUUUCACCUCUGGUAUGCCCAGGGGUCCGCCAAUACAAAGUUCCAGGAAUUGAUUUCUCCCGCAUGUAAAAAUAAAAAAAUUAAUUUGAACAUUUGAAAGACAGUCUCCAUGAUCGACACGUGACAGUUAAUGACGUAUAUUUACAUUCACUGUGUGUUUCUGCUUCAUGUCUAAUGAAAUCCAUUUUUUUUUGGUCAUUUGCAACUAUGAAGACACAUUCUGUUUCAAUCUAGUUAAAUCCGGAUCUUUAGCGUCGUCUGUCCGCUUGUGAAUAUAUGUAUUCCACGUACUCCGUGACUUAUUUCGCCGCAUUGUUAGUAUUGUUAAAAAUAUAGACCCCCCUUUCUUCUUAAUUGGGAUAAUAAAUAGCGCUAAACUACAUGUAUAUUAUACGAUGACUUGUUUUAGAUUAGAUUGUGUCCAUCUUGGACUAUUUCCCCUUACCAUCGUUCAAACACGGAAAUCGUUACCAAAUAUGGAGAUAAGUCAAAAUCAUGUGAUUUUCAGCUGUUAUGUUUCAUUAACUUAUUGAUAUUUUACGCACUUUAAGGUAUUUAUAAUUAGAUAGGUAUUUCUUAGCGGUUUUUCUAUUCUUACAAGUGACUACGCUUGGUGUUUUAGAGAUUAUUCGGGAAACAUGAAAUGACGAUUUGACACGUGUUUGACUCGUUCUUGUUGUAUGAAUUCUGGGAUUUGCCGGGUGUAUGCUCAUUGUAACAGAUUACACGGAGUUGUCACGGGGAUGGUCCUUUGAUUUAUGUUUGGCAGCAUCAGUUUAUACUUUGAUUGAGGUAAUUGUUAAAAUUUCUGUAAUGAACCUGAAUAACGAGAAAGGUGGUUGUAUUGAAUAUUACGUUUAGCGUUAUCUGUAAAUCACGCAGUAACACGAUUGAACAACAUACACACAAGAUAAAUUUACGUUAGUUCGCGAUUGAGUAAGAUUAGACAUUGUUUUCAUGAUUGAUUUUAAUAUUUCUUUAUUAUUUUUGCUUAUUCUACCAAUAUGUUACACCAUGAUAGUAAAUUUAAGAGAGAGAGAGGGGGGGGGAGAGAGAGAGAGAGAGAGAGAGAGAGAGAGAGAGAGAGAGAGAGAGAGAGAGAGAGAUCACCGCACUUACCGGCCUUAGAUUGUGAUCAAGUGAAGUUCGUUGCAUUGUUUAAGAAGAAUAUUCAUAUAGGUGAACGAUAUAUCAUCUCUUAUUCCAGACUUUGAUAAAUAGUGACUGUGACCAGACUCAAUGACGGUUAGAUCCUGUUUGUGUGUAUGCUAUAUAUGGUUGUGUAUGUAAGCCAUGUUGUCACUAAGAUACACUAUAUACCAACACAAUAAAUUGAUCAAUAUGAAAUGAGUUUAACAGGAUCUUUGUGUUCAUCGAAAAAGAUAAGAUAAACCAUACAUAUUCUAACACCUAUGGAGAGGUUUAUAUCGGCAUUAUACCUGCUGUCUAAUCUUAUGUACAUAUUUUCUAUAUAUAUAUACAUGAAUGAAAUACUAUUCAUAUAUAAUAUCUCAC